RNAcentral lists this ribosomal RNA (253 nucleotides) under uncultured bacterium. RNAcentral describes it as "partial 16S ribosomal RNA". It matches the Rfam family "Bacterial small subunit ribosomal RNA", at positions 524 to 776 of the family's 1533-position model. The record is from RNAcentral.
UACAGGGGGGGCAAGCGUUGUCCGGAAUUACUGGGUGUAAAGGGUCCGUAGGCGGAUCGGUAAGUCAGUGGUUAAAUCCUGCAGGUUAACUGUAGACUAUCCAUUGAUACUGCCGGUCUUGAGUGCGAGAGAGAUGAGUGGAAUUCCAAGUGUAGCGGUGAAAUGCGUAGAGAUUUGGAAGAACACUAGUUGCGAAGGCGGCUCAUUGGCUCGCUACUGACGCUGAGGAACGAAAGCGUGGGGAGCAAACAGG